GACGAACGCUGGCGGCGUGCUUAACACAUGCAAGUCGAACGGAAAGGCCCUGCUUUUGUGGGGUGCUCGGGUGGCGAACGGGUGAGUUACACAUGAGUAACCUGCCCUUGACUUAGGGAUAACUUCAGGGAACUGGGGCUAAUAACGGAUAGGAGCCCCUGCUGCAUUGUGGGGGUUGGAAAGUUUCUGCGGUUGGGGAUGGACUCGCGCCUUAUCAGCUUGUUGGUGGGGUAGUGGCUUACCAAGGCGUCGACGGGUAGCCGGCCUGAGAGGGUGACCGGCCACAUUGGGACUGAGAUACGGCCCAGACUCCUACGGAAGGCAGCAGUGGGGAAUAUUGCACAAUGGGCGGAAGCCUGAUGCAGCAACGCCGCGUGCGGGAUGACGGCCUUCGGGUUGUAAACCGCUUUCGCCUGUGACGAAGCGUGAGUGACGGUAAUGGGUAAAGAAGCACCGGCUAACUACGUG
Molecule: ribosomal RNA, 468 nt
Filed under: uncultured bacterium
Lineage: Bacteria
Description: partial 16S ribosomal RNA
Rfam family: Bacterial small subunit ribosomal RNA
Source: RNAcentral